UACGUAGGGUGCAAGCGUUGUCCGGAAUUAUUGGGCGUAAAGAGCCCGUAGGCGGUCUGUCGCGUCGGCUGUGAAAACCUGGGGCUUAACUCCGGGCCUGCAGCCGAUACGGGCAGACUAGAGUUCGGCAGGGGAGACUGGAAUUCCUGGUGUAGCGGUGAAAUGCGCAGAUAUCAGGAGGAACACCGGUGGCGAAGGCGGGUCUCUGGGCCGAAACUGACGCUGAGGAGCGAAAGCGUGGGGAGCAAACAGG
RNAcentral lists this ribosomal RNA (253 nucleotides) under uncultured bacterium. Its description in RNAcentral is "partial 16S ribosomal RNA". It matches the Rfam family "Bacterial small subunit ribosomal RNA", at positions 524 to 776 of the family's 1533-position model. The record is from RNAcentral.